ACGUUCGUAACUUAAUCGGAUAAAGUGUCGAGCUACGGACUCGAAAAGUGUGGGUUCAAGUCCUGCCGAACGUGC
RNAcentral lists this transfer RNA (75 nucleotides) under Raphidocelis subcapitata. Its description in RNAcentral is "tRNA-Arg". It matches the Rfam family "tRNA". From Rfam's summary of the family: Transfer RNA (tRNA) molecules are approximately 80 nucleotides in length. Their secondary structure includes four short double-helical elements and three loops (D, anti-codon, and T loops). The record is from RNAcentral. Lineage: Eukaryota; Viridiplantae; Chlorophyta; Chlorophyceae; Sphaeropleales; Selenastraceae.